GACGAACGCUGGCGGCGUGCCUAAUACAUGCCAGUAGAACGCUGAAGGAGGAGCUUGCUUCUCUGGAUGAGUUGCGAACGGGUGAGUAACGCGUAGGUAACCUACCUGGUAGCGGGGGAUAACUAUUGGAAACGAUAGCUAAUACCGCAUAAGAGUAGAUGUCGCAUGACAUUUGCUUAAAAGGUGCAAUUGCAUCACUACCAGAUGGACCUGCGUUGUAUUAGCUAGUUGGUGAGGUAACGGCUCACCAAGGCAACGAUACAUAGCCGACCUGAGAGGGUGAUCGGCCACACUGGGACUGAGACACGGCCCAGACUCCUACGGGAGGCAGCAGUAGGGAAUCUUCGGCAAUGGACGGAAGUCUGACCGAGCAACGCCGCGUGAGUGAAGAAGGGUUUCGGAUCGUAAAGCUCUGUUGUAAGAGAAGAACGAGUGUGAGAGUGGAAAGUUCACACUGUGACGGUAUCUUACCAGAAAGGGACGGCUAACUACGUG
Molecule: ribosomal RNA, 495 nt
Filed under: uncultured bacterium
Lineage: Bacteria
Description: partial 16S ribosomal RNA
Rfam family: Bacterial small subunit ribosomal RNA
Source: RNAcentral